AUAAAGGCAAUGAAAAGAAUAAGUAAAAAUUAGAUGAGCUAAACAGAAAGUUACCGGAUGAUGAGAGGUGCAUAGAAACUAAUUUUGAAUACAUCUUAGAGCUUCAAGCUGAAAGGAAGACAAUUCCAAGUAGGUGAUGACGGAUCCCUGCACCCGUUAUAGUGCUAAAGUAUAACCAAAUUUUUAUAGUUAAUUACAAAUUAAUAGAUUAGGCUAUAAUUUUAUGACGUACUUGAAGAGGUUAAUUGUGUGAGCAGUUAAUAAAAUUAAGGUGGUAACACGGGAGAUAUACUCUCGUCCUUUAC
This 305-nucleotide non-coding RNA is filed under the name Clostridium saccharobutylicum. RNAcentral describes it as "T-box sequence". It matches the Rfam family "T-box leader". From Rfam's summary of the family: Uncharged tRNA acts as the effector for transcription antitermination of genes in the T-box leader family. T-boxes are found upstream of many aminoacyl-tRNA synthetase genes and some amino acid biosynthetic genes usually in Gram-positive bacteria. The anticodon of a specific tRNA base pairs to a specifier sequence within the T-box motif, and the NCCA acceptor tail of the tRNA base pairs to a conserved bulge in the T-box antiterminator hairpin. The record is from RNAcentral. Lineage: Bacteria; Bacillati; Bacillota; Clostridia; Eubacteriales; Clostridiaceae.